Molecule: small RNA, 91 nt
Filed under: Arabidopsis thaliana (thale cress)
Lineage: Eukaryota; Viridiplantae; Streptophyta; Magnoliopsida; Brassicales; Brassicaceae
Description: ATSL093190
Source: RNAcentral
AAAAACAUUUUCAAACCAGCUCUAAUCAACUGGUAACCCAUAAAUUAAGUGAGGAUUGGCAUAUAAGAGAAUUGGCAUUAGAAAUCUUUUU